UAAAACCUUCAGAAGGAAAGGAGAAUGUUUUGAGGACCGUUUGUGUUUUUUUGU
RNAcentral lists this microRNA precursor (54 nucleotides) under Canis lupus familiaris (dog). RNAcentral's name for it is "miRNA (ENSCAFG00000059147.1)". The record is from RNAcentral. Lineage: Eukaryota; Metazoa; Chordata; Mammalia; Carnivora; Canidae.